This 443-nucleotide ribosomal RNA is filed under the name uncultured bacterium. RNAcentral describes it as "partial 16S ribosomal RNA". It matches the Rfam family "Bacterial small subunit ribosomal RNA", at positions 338 to 795 of the family's 1533-position model. The record is from RNAcentral.
CCUACGGGAGGCUGCAGUGGGGAAUAUUGGGCAAUGGGCGCAAGCCUGACCCAGCAAAGCCGCGUGAAGGAAGACGGCUCUCGGGUUGUAAACUUCUUUUCUGAGGGACGUAACAAGUGACGGUACCUGAGGAAUAAGCCACGGCUAACUACUUGCCAGCCGCCGCGGUAAUACGUAGGUGGCAAGCGUUAUCCGGAUUUACUGGGUGUAAGGGGCGUGUAGGCGGGACUGCAAGUCAGAUGUGAAAACCACGGGCUCAACCUGUGGCCUGCAGUUGAAACUGGAGUUCUUGAGUACUGGAGAGGCAGACGGAAUUCCUGGUGUAGCGGUGAAAUGCGUAGAUAUUAGGAGGAACACCAGUGGCGAAGGCGGUCUGCUGGACAGCAACUGACGCUGAGGCGCGAAAGUGUGGGGAGCAAACAGGAUUAGAUACCCCAGUAGUC